RNAcentral lists this long non-coding RNA (246 nucleotides) under Elaeis guineensis (African oil palm). Its description in RNAcentral is "long non-coding RNA (EGUI_LNC000560)". Lineage: Eukaryota; Viridiplantae; Streptophyta; Magnoliopsida; Arecales; Arecaceae. The record is from RNAcentral.
ACGGCGUGGGUAGUUUCCGAUCUCGAUCCAACAAUUUGGAAUAUUUCUGGGCUUUGUUUGAGCUUGAUUAGGAUUCCUAGUUUUAAUCUAAGUCUUAUUUAAGGCCCUUUAAAAGGCCUGAUUAGUGGAAAAGAGGAUGUGUGGUUUCUUGGUUUUCAUGGGAGAGAAUCCAGCAAAGGACCUGUGGGUGUGGACGGCUUCACGCGGAUCAGAGAAGAAUCUGUGAGGAAGAAAGAGAGAGAUGCG